This 253-nucleotide ribosomal RNA is filed under the name uncultured bacterium. Its description in RNAcentral is "partial 16S ribosomal RNA". It matches the Rfam family "Bacterial small subunit ribosomal RNA", at positions 524 to 776 of the family's 1533-position model. The record is from RNAcentral.
AACGUAGGUUCCGAGCGUUAUCCGGAUUUACUGGGCGUAAAGCGCGUUCAGGCGGUUUGGCAAGUCGGGCAUGAAAUCUCUCGGCUCAACCGGGAGAGGUUGUCCGAUACUGCUGGACUUGAGGGCAGUAGAGGGUGGUGGAAUUCCGGGUGUAGUGGUGAAAUGCGUAGAUAUCCGGAGGAACACCAGUGGCGAAGGCGACUACCUGGCCUGUUCUUGACGCUGAGGCGCGAAAGCUAGGGGAGCAAACGGG